RNAcentral lists this ribosomal RNA (1311 nucleotides) under human gut metagenome. Its description in RNAcentral is "bacterial LSU rRNA". It matches the Rfam family "Bacterial large subunit ribosomal RNA", at positions 979 to 2316 of the family's 2925-position model. The record is from RNAcentral.
GGGAGUCAGACUGCACGAGAUAAGUUGGGCAGUCAAAAGGGAAAGAGCCCAGACCACCGGCUAAGGUCCCAAAGUGCGUGUUAAGUGGAAAAGGAUGUGGGAAUUCGAAGACAACUAGGAUGUUGGCUCAGAAGCAGCCAUACAUUCAAAGAGUGCGUAACAGCUCACUAGUCGAGAGUUCCUGCGCCGAAAAUGUCCGGGGCUGAAACACGACACCGAAGCCGUGGACUCGCAAUGCGAGUGGUAGAGGAGCAUUCUUAAAACCGACGAAGCUGUACCGGAAGGAGCAGUGGAGGGAUAAGAAGAGAGAAUGCCGGAAUGAGUAGCGAGAGAAAGGUGGGAAUCCUUUCGGCCGAAUAUCUAAGGUUUCCAGAGUAAAGCUGAUCUGCUCUGGGUAAGUCGGGGCCUAAGCACAGGUCGCAAGACGUAAGCGAUGGAUAACAGGUUUAGAUUCCUGUACCACGCAUUAUCAGAACUGUAGGGACGCAUGUGGAAAGCACGAGCCGGGAAUGGAAAGACCGGUACAAGCGGGGUAGGUGUACAACAGGCAAAUCCGUUGUAUAAUCCGAAGACGUGAUGUGGAGCGAAAUAAAGUAGUGAAGCGUGUGAGCCAUGUGCCGAGAAAAGCUGCUAUUGUGUAAUGCGUGCCCGUACCGUAAACCGACACAGGUGGAUGAGGAGAGAAUCCUAAGGCCGGCGGAAGAAGCAUUGUUAAGGAAUUCGGCAAAAUGACCCCGUAACUUCGGGAGAAGGGGUGCCUGCGAGAGCAGGCCGCAGAGAAUAGGCUCAAGCAACUGUUUAGCAAAAACACAGGUCUAUGCGAAACCGAAAGGUGAAGUAUAUGGGCUGACGCCUGCCCGGUGCUGGAAGGUUAAGAGGAGAGGUUAGCGUAAGCGAAGCUUUGAAUUUAAGCCCCAGUAAACGGCGGCCGUAACAAUAACGGUCCUAAGGUAGCGAAAUUCCUUGUCGGGUAAGUUCCGACCCGCACGAAAGGCGUAAUGAUUUGAGCACUGUCUCGACAAUGCAUCCGGUGAAAUUGAAGUACCAGUGAAGAUGCUGGUUACCCGCGCCAGGACGGAAAGACCCCAUGGAGCUUUACUCCAGUUUGAUACUGGGAUUCGGUACUGCAUGUACAGGAUAGGUGGGAGACGAAGAAGGAUGGACGCCAGUCUGUCCGGAGUCGCUGUUGGGAUACCACCCCUGUAGUACUGGGUUUCUAACCAGUUGCCAUGAACUGGCAAUGGGACAAUGUCAGGCGGGGAGUUUGACUGGGGCGGUCGCCUCCGAAAGGGUAUCGGAGGCGCUCAAAGG